This is a long non-coding RNA of Balaenoptera ricei (Rice's whale), 6107 nucleotides long. RefSeq lists it as uncharacterized. Lineage: Eukaryota; Metazoa; Chordata; Mammalia; Artiodactyla; Balaenopteridae. The record is from RefSeq and is a predicted model, not a curated record. The transcript has 8 exons.
UUAGAGCUGGAAGGUGAGACGCCGCGGGAAAAGCGGUCCUGUUAGGUGGUCCAGGUAGUUUGGGGCUGAGGCCGUCUCCUGAAGAGUAACCGCGGGCCUGUGCUACGGUCACGCCACCGGUCUCCGUUUCCUUUAGCCUUCUCUCUCACCAAACGAUUUUCCUGUCCAGUUAUAAAGUGCAAGUUGUUUCCCCAAGCUGAGAUGGAGCAAUAGAGACCAGAUGUACCUUUCCCAGCUGAAACAACUAAAAAGACAAGACAAAAUAUAUUAAAGAAUGGUUUUUGAGACACUGGACACCACACAGUGAAGAACAGUGAUCCCUGAGAGAUGAGAAACAAAUAAGAUCUUGGAAUGCUCCAGUCUUUUUGCAAAGUCGAUGAGCGGCUUCAGCACUGGGGAAGAAGCCCGAAAGGUGACCAGAUGGAACCUGCAUUCACAGUCUUCAAAGUUCCCUUUUGAAACAUAAGGAAGAGAAUGAAGGGGAGAAGGAUUUCACACUUUCGGGCUUACAAUCUGAAGGUGUCCGUUCCUACACUGGUCAGACCACUGUCCUUGGGGCAGCUGGGGUCUUUGGGACCCUCCACCGGGCUCGCCGGUCCGUCGGACUUUUGGCUGAGAUCCGUGUCAGACUCCUCCGAAUAGUCGUCUGUUGGCAUCGAGGGCUGAACCCCUGAGGUGCUGCAUGAACUUGAGAGCGCGCUCUCGCACGCCAGGCAGUGGUACGAGCCGCCGCCGCUGCCGCUGCCGCCGCCGCCCGUGGGGACGUGAAGCACCAUCUCUUGCAGGUUCACCACAGACUGGCCGAAGAAGCAGAGGGACUUCAGGUGGCUCCUCGCCGCCUCCUCGUCACUGAAGCCCGCCUGGCACUUGCGGCAGACCAACUUGUACUGCACCUUUGGAACGAUGAAGGGGUCGUAGAGGGAGUCCGCACUUUUGCUUUCUGCUUCUGGCUCUUCGGGGGGUUUCGGCAGGAGGGGGGACACCUCACGGGGUGCGUUUUUCUGCUCUUCUGGUCUGGGGGAUUCUUUGGCAGGGUCUUUGUCUGGGGAAGCAGCCCCCUGGGGGACUGGGGUUUGGCUUGCUUUGGGCUGCUGCACUUUUUGCUGCUGCAGCUGCCGCUGCUGCUGCUGCUGGAUGGCCUCCUGCAGACUCUGCUGGUAUUGCUGGUACUGCUGCAGUAGGGAGCCCGGGGACAGCCCCAUCAGGGCCUGCGACAGCGCAGGGCUGUAGGGGAACAGGCCUUCCAUGCCGUACAUAGGCUGCAGGUACCCGCUCUGCAGGGCGCCGGGGAUCUGGGGGGCGUAAUAAGGAGAGAAGCCUGGUACAAAGUAAGGGAGGAACUGGCUCGUGAGCAACGCUGUGGGGUCCGAAGUCAAGGCUGCCUGCAGGGCCUGCAGCUGCGCAGGGUCCACUGCAUACUCCAUGGCGGGCAGCGGUGCUGAGAUCGUGGCUGUGGCCGCCGUGGGCGCCUCUCCUUUCUCCUUCUUGGGGACGGGCAGGGGUUCCCCUUUCCCUUUGUGUGCCUUUUCCUUCUCCUUUCCCUUCUCACCGUCUCUGUCCUUGCGUUGCUGUUGCUGCUGCUGCGGCGGGAGCUGCGGCGCGGGUGGUGGCUGGGCUGCUGGCGGCGGCGGCUGCGCCUGCGGCGGCUGCGGUUGGGGGCUUGGCAGAGGGGCCGUCGCCGUGGGGGCCUGUGCUGGGGUGGGGGAGCUCAGCGACGCUGAGGGCGGUUUAUUUGGUAAUCCAGACGUGGGGAGGCCGGGGGAAGGAACUGUUGUGCUGGGCAGACCCAUCAAGUUCGGUUUAGGAGACGUUAAAGCUGAAAGGAAUGGAGACAGAGAAAUCACGUGUCACUCUGGGGUGCUGAGGCUGGUGCUCAAGAUGUUUCACCUGUGUCACUGGCACAGGGUCUAAGAGCUCAAGGUUUGAACUUGGAGGAUCCUGUUGAUCCAACGGCUUUCCCGCCAGGCCCAGGUUGGAUAGCCGGUAUUCUAAUCCGGGCCCAGCCCUGGGUCAGCUCCCAUACCUCCCAUACCAGCUAAACAACUUCCAACACCUUCUGCCCAACGUGCCACACCCAUCCCACUCGGUCAUGUUUUCUCUGCUGUGCUCCCAGCUGCCAUUCACUCUGCCCAAGGCAAUUAGUCUGGAGGCCCCCAGACUAGCUGCUGCCAGCCGGGACCCAUCUGAACCAAUGGCCUUCAUCAAAAGCCCCACAGAGAUAGUACGGUCAAGAGGCCCCACCAGAAGCUGUCUGGAGAAGAGAGCGAAAGCAAGAAACCCGGCCAGGCACCAAGACCACCUGAACAAACACAACAGGCUCUACACAUGUGCCUCUCUGACCUCCACUGCUGCAGGGUGAUGGAGGGCUGCUGCUGGUUCAUGAAGACUAGCAAGGUGGCGGUGAAGGACAGCACUGACCACAUCCAAGACCCUAGACGAUGCAGUGCUCCUGGGAGCUGUGGUACAGUCAGACGGUGGUAACUGGGGCGGGCCUGGCUGCCUUGAAUGAUUAAGAGCAUAUCUGUCCUCCUACCUGGAGUCAAGUGGUCAGAACCUGAGUAGCACGAAACAUACACCUGUUGACUGACUGGCUCAUACUGGCUGCUGUGGAAGGAGUACAGAGCACUGGGAGCCCAGAGGCCUUCAAGGGAGUAAUAGCACCGGGAGCCCGGCUCCUACCCUAGCUCGUUGAAUGGUCUUGACCUCUCUGGGCCUCAGUUUUCUCAUCUGUAAAACAAGGGGAAUAGACCAGACAUUUUGAUUCUAAUAUUUUCACAUUACUAUGAAAUGUUGGGCCUUCCCAAGCCCCUCUUCCAAGGUCCCAGGCUGCAAGGGAAGCUCAGUGCCCAGCCACCUUCCAUAGUCGCUUUCUUGGCUUACGUCUAGCUGACUUUUAACAUCAUUCUGUGACAUUACUUGCCAGCACAUGUAAGCAACGACUUCUAAAUCUUAAUGCUUUCUUUUCUUGUUCUUCUCUUUGGUUAAGAAACUGGGAUCUGGAAUGUGGUAGCCCCUCACGUUCUGUAAAACACUGCCAAAAUUAUAAAACUUGGAUUUAAUUCAACCAGAAACCAGGGCUGCUCUGGGAAGCAGCAGAACCACUUCAACCCCUGGGAACAGGGCCAUGUUUUGAAGUCUCACAGGAUCCUGGAAGUGAAAGUCCAAUUUAGGGAAGACAGCUGGAUUCAGAGAAGACGGGUGUGGGCAGAGGAGGAGGAACAAGAGAGGUACACAGGAAGAACCGCGGCACUCCCUACGAAGUGGAAAAAUAACUACCAAGUACGUGACUCUGAAUUAGAAAGGGAAACGGGCAGAAGAAAACGAAGGUGUGUUACCAUUAACAUUUUUGUCUGUCUAGAGGACUAUAACAUGUCAUAAUUCAGAACCACAGUGCCCAAUACGAGUUCCUGGUCAGUGCAUUCCAGUACAAAGGCAGUCUAAUUAGAAACCAGGGACUUCCCUGACAGUCCAGGGGUUAAGACUCUGUGCUUCCACUGCAGGGGGCACAGGUUCGAUCCCUGGUCGGAGGACUGAAAUCCCACAUGCCGCGUGGUGCAGCCCAAAAGCAACCAACCAACAAACAAAAAACACUAACAUUAACACCCUAUUUCUGACUGGAAGAGAACCCCAGGGGUAAGGCUCUACCGUAUGAGAGCGUCUUCCUGGUAGCAUCUCUCCUGCCAGAGCACGUCUCUGAAAAAGGAGGUGGGACCACAGAGGAAGGCAAAGAGUUGAUUUAAAUUCUCUUGAACCAAUUUCCAGAAGGCACAAUCCAGGAUUAGCUAGACAUUCAAAUGUUUUAUAUUUUCAACAGACAUCGAGAUGGGAUCUGCAUUUCCACAAGGACUGAAUGGAAGGGUCUAUAAUGGAAACUGCUGUCUUGAAAAUACCCCAUGAUCUAGUACGCCAGAACCCUGAAGUUCAUGCCUAUAACACACACCCUGGUGGUGUUACUGAACACCAGGCACGAGAAUGGUUUCAGGAGCCUGUUCCAACCACAAGGUCCCCAUCCUUGAACUGGCAAGUCAAAGAGUCAUGUACACCAUAGCUCUAGGGAGACUCAGUGGAAGGGACCUGAGGUUUUACACUGCUGUUAGAGAACUAGAAAAGGGAAGCUUCCUAUCAGGCCAACACUCGGAGGUUUUGUGUGGUAGCCAUAGAACAAGCGCUAAUUGGGCGGCUAUUUAAUACUGGGAGAGUCACCAGGAGCAGAACCCACCUGUGUUGGAUGGAGUAAAGCCGGGCAAGGAGGGGCUGUUGAGGCCGGGGAGCAACACGGGCGGAAUGCCCUGGAUGGCCGGAUAUGCUGUCGGAAGGUUGAGAGCCUGAAGAGGGGCGUUGUCAAACAUCCCUUGCUGCUGCGCUGCCAGUCCGAGGACCUCAUUGGCCUUUUUGAUCCGGUCCAGCUCUUGUUGAGCCAUCAGCUGACGUACAGUGGCUGGGUCAAAGUAUUCUUUCUCCUUGUCCAACUGGCUUCCAAUGGUGUCUUUAACUUUGGAGAUAUGCUGUUGGGAAAAGAUAUGGUCACGUACAGACAGCCGAGCGCUGUACUUGAUGCCACACAAAGUGCACUCUGUUUUGGGUCCCUCGUAACUUGUUUGGUUUAUACCAAAAUGCUUGGCCAUGCUUAACUUGGACUUCUUUUCUUUUGCCCGGGCAUUCUGGAACCAGACCUGAACCACUCUCUUUGGCAGUCCAAUGUCAUUGCCCAGGACUUCACACUCUAGCAUGGUGGGUGUCCUGUAGUCAUUAAAGCAUGACUUGAGGACCUUCAGCUGCAGAUUGGUCAUCUGAGUGCGAAAACGUUUCUGCCCGGGCCUAUCCCCACUGUCUCCAGAUUUGCCCGCUGACCCACUUGCACCAGGGCUUGGGGAGCAGGGGUCUGCAAGGCUCGAGGUUUCACUGUAGUCCACUGUACCUUCAUUGUCAUAUUCCUUGCUGUAAAAGCUCGGGGCUGGGCUGACCAGACCGGAUGACAACCGAUCUUCAUACUCGGACAUUGCCAUCAUGGCUGCUUUGGUCAACCCUUCACUGGGCGCGGAAGAGGAUUUGGUUUCAGUUGCUAUUCCCGUCGCACUGUCGUUAUCCGCGUUGCCCUCGUCUCCAGUAGUGGUAUCUGUGAUCGCUGUGUUGACUGAGGAACAGUCGUCGUUGUCCAGCUUAGUUUGGUCAAAGUUUAGAUUAACUGAGGACAUGGAAGGGCUUUCAAAGUCUUCAAUCCCUUCCACCUUGAUGGAAGAAGGGCUAAGAAGAGUUCUAGGAGACAACUCCAUGGUUUUGCUCACAGGUGAGAGGGGAACACCUUGGCCAUCACUACUGCUUGGGGGUAGGUGGGAAAAGCUAGUUCCAUCAAAAAUAUCUCCUUUCAUCUGGAGUCCCCCAUCGCAGUCUAAGAGCAUCGCAGACAGAGUUAGGUUGUAGCCAGCUCUCUUGGCUUCAUGCCAAUGACGGGACCGGAUAUGAGCCUCCAGGGCAGUCUUGGCUUUGAAGAGCGCUCUGCAAAAAGGGCAUCUCCUGUGGGCCUGGGCUGGGCCCACAGCCCUGAACUGUCCUUUCCGUUCCCGGGCUCGGGUGUUCUGAAACCAGACUUGUACCACGCGUUUCUUCAAACCCACCUCAUGCGCAAUGUGAUCCAACAUCUUUCGAGUUGGAUUGGAGUCCAAGAGAUACUUUUGGUAGAGAAUUUCUAGCUGUUCUGGUGUAAUAGUUGUCCUCAAACGCUUGUCUCUCUGAGGUUCUUCUCCUCCCGUCCCACUGUCAUUCUCUCCAGGGCUGGCACUGGCCUUUUCCUCCAGCUUCCUCUUCAGAGUGUUCAUCGUGGAGGUGGGAGUUGAAGGGGAAGUGGCCGAGCUUGCCGGAAUCUGAGGUAUGGCCCCAGAGAGCAGCUGGCUUGCCAGCAGUGGGUUACUAGGGUCAAACAGCAUGAAAGGCAUAUCCAGGGACCUGUCCAGAAACUGGGGGUGGAGGAACUGGUUCUGCGCGCUCAGGAAGUGAAGCUGCUGGUGCUCCUGCCAGUGCUCGAACGACGGAAACGCCAGCUUGCACUGCUCGCACUGGUAGGGGAUUAGCUGAGGAGGUAGGUUGGCCAGCUGCUGAGGAGUUGACGU